GACGAACGCUGGCGGCGUGCUUAACACAUGCAAGUCGAACGGUGGACGAGGGAGCUUGCUCCCUCCGGAUCAGUGGCGAACGGGUGAGUAACACGUGGGCAAUCUGCCCCGAACUCUGGGAUAAGCGUUGGAAACGACGUCUAAUACCGGAUACGACGCGGGACGGCAUCCUCUCAGCGUGGAAAGAACUUCGGUUCGGGAUGAGCUCGCGGCCUAUCAGCUUGUUGGUGAGGUAACGGCUCACCACGGCGACGACGGGUAGCCGGCAUGAGAGGGUGACCGGCCACACUGGGACUGAGACACGGCCCAGACUCCUACGGGAGGCAGCAGUGGGGAAUAUUGCACAAUGGGCGCAAGCCUGAUGCAGCAACGCCGCGUGAGGGACGACGGCCUUCGGGUUGUAAACCUCUUUUAGCAGGGAAGAAGCGAAAGUGACGGUACCUGCAGAAAAAGCACCGGCUAACUACGUG
Molecule: ribosomal RNA, 470 nt
Filed under: uncultured bacterium
Lineage: Bacteria
Description: partial 16S ribosomal RNA
Rfam family: Bacterial small subunit ribosomal RNA
Source: RNAcentral